AUGAUGACGACGACAGACAGACAUCAUGAUGUAGAUUUCAUUCCUACAGACGGCGAUGAUGUCGAAGAGCAUGACAGCGACGCAGAACAUGACGAGGAUGCCAAAUCAGGCAAGAAGGACAGAAAGAGAAGCAAGACAAGCGGGAAAGAACUGGUAGUACCGACAGUUGACGAAGAACAGCAAGAAACAGACGAAGAGAAAUGCCAAAUCAAGGCAGGGGAAGCAUUCACCCAUGUCAAGAAAGCAUGGAAUUUACUUAAAGACCGUCACAAGAAAGAUAUUAGGACGGCAGGAUUUGGUAGCAUAGAGAACUGCAAAAUAACGGGCUCCAUCUGCAGACCGCUUGCAGCACACAUCUACGACAACCUCAACACAGAAACCAUGACAAUAACCUUCGGUGAUGCUACUGAAGACAAAAAAAAUCAAGAUUACCAAGGAAGCUACCCAGAAGGUGUUUGGAUACCCAAACGGCACACAAAGCGCCGCUAUCUUCGCCCGAACAGCUAUAAUGGUCAAGGACAUGGACUAUCCGGAAAUGGCAAAGAUGGAUUUCUACGAGGUAAUCGUCAAAUGUAUUAG
Molecule: ribosomal RNA, 579 nt
Filed under: Triticum aestivum (bread wheat)
Lineage: Eukaryota; Viridiplantae; Streptophyta; Magnoliopsida; Poales; Poaceae
Description: partial small subunit ribosomal RNA
Source: RNAcentral